This 274-nucleotide ribosomal RNA is filed under the name uncultured bacterium. Its description in RNAcentral is "partial 16S ribosomal RNA". It matches the Rfam family "Bacterial small subunit ribosomal RNA", at positions 523 to 796 of the family's 1533-position model. The record is from RNAcentral.
AUACGGAGGGUGCAAGCGUUGUUCGGAAUUAUUGGGCGUAAAGCGCAUGUAGGCGGCUUGGUAAGUCAGGUGUGAAAGCCCUUAGCUCAACUAAGGAAAGUCAUCUGAAACUGCCAGGCUUGAGUACGGGAGAGGAGAGUGGAAUUCCCGGUGUAGAGGUGAAAUUCGUAGAUAUCGGGAGGAACACCCGUGGCGAAGGCGACUCUCUGGACCGAUACUGACGCUGAGACGCGAAAGCGUGGGGAGCAAACAGGAUUAGAUACCCCGGUAGUCC